Molecule: long non-coding RNA, 2760 nt
Filed under: Corvus moneduloides (New Caledonian crow)
Lineage: Eukaryota; Metazoa; Chordata; Aves; Passeriformes; Corvidae
Description: lncRNA (ENSCMUG00000020130.1)
Source: RNAcentral
UUGUCUGAAAGGAAAUCCAUACCUGCAUGGCAGGGACUUCCUCCCACUGUAAUUAUGUUCCAAAUUCCUGAACCCUCUAUGUAAAUAUGAAUGAGAAGUGAUGAUUGUAAAUGUAAUGAUGGUGCUGUAGGUAAAAAGGUGACAGUAAUGUUGGGAAUGUCAGCUCUGCAGUGGCUGGAGGAACAAGUCCCCUCAAUUCUCCCUCUGCAUCAGAAGUGCCAGAUCCUGGAUCUCUCUGGACAAAAGGAGUUGCUCCACUCAGAUAUUCAGUGUUUAUCAGAUCAGUGUCCAUACAGACAAAACUGAGGAGUUCCAGUCAUUCAGUUCUCACAGUUUAAUGUUGUUGUUACUGCUCCAAUGUUUGCCAGUUGUUUGGGCAUGAAAAAAUCACCAGUUUUUACUGUGGGAAAAACCCCCAUGUUGUCCCAAACACUUCCCUGUCUUUAUAAAUCAUAGAGGAACUUACACUGAGGAUUCUGAACCCAAAGUUUUAUCUACUGAUAGAUCACAUUUAGAAUCAAUUUUUAGCUCCAUGUUCUUAUCAAAAUACUCUUUUUAAAAAAAGAAAGGAUAUGUUCUUGGAAGCUUAAAUAACCUCCACAGAGAAAUUUGUAUCCAUGCAGUUUUUACAACUAAAACCAGUUCUAACUAUUAUCUGCUGGUGGCACCAUUACACCAGAGGAAUUUAUUAUCCAAGUCUUAAAUGAAAAACUGCUACAGACUACACCUCUCAAUUUGAUUUAAUGGGAUUUUUUUUUUUUUUAAUUUCUUCAUAGUUUGGUGUCAGUUAAAGCAAGCCAUUUUGUUGCCAUUGGGCCUUUGUGGGUGACUUUUAAAGAAAUGAGCUUCAUAAGGAACCUGACCAUGAUGUAGCAGGGAAGAAAAUUGUCUGGCAGAGUCACCUAAAAUUCAGGAUAGCCCUGCUGAGAGGGGUCAAGGCUGAUGUUCUUCUUGAAACCCUUUGUUGGUACAUCAGAACCGUAAAGAGUGUGCAACCAGAAGUAACCACGAGGCAGGAGCUGGAAGCUGAAACUUGCAGCACAAGCCUGGCCCAGGCUGGUGUCAGGGGACAACUUCUGCAGCAGUCCCUGCCUGGAAGGAAGCCCUCCUCCCGCUGCCCCUGCUGCAUCUGGAGACAUUGUGAGAACCUUGGAGCACAAAGGCCUUUGGACAUCUCAGCAAUGGAGAAUUUUGUCUCCAAAAUUCCUGGUCUAUUUUUGAAAUGUGGCCAUUAUGUGAGAGAAAAUUUAUCUAGAACUCAGCACUUCUGGAGGUCGCAGAUGAGGACACAUCACUCAGUGAUUCUACUACUGAACAGUGUGUGUAGCUCAUACAGAGGAGGACUUGGCUCAGCCUACCCUAAAUUUGCCUUCAGUGCAACAUCCACGCUUGAUCAUAGCUGGAGCUUCCUCUCAUCAAAGAAAAUAAGUAGAAGAACCAACCACCUGCCACUCACUUGGUCACCUCUACAAAACCAGGCUGGGGCUGAGAAUCAAUAGCAACGACACGGAACUUUUGUGGUGAGUUCUCUUUGAACAAGAGCUGUGCUGGGAGAGCAAACAACACCUGGAGGAGCUGGGCAUGGGCUGAAAGGGAGCAGGGAUGGUGGGCAGAGGCUGUUUGUGCUCCAGGGUGGGGCUCUGGCACAGGCAGGAGGAGGAGGAGGAGGAGAAUGCCUCCAUCAGCCUCUGGUAAUGCGGGAGAAGAGCAGGCAAGCUCCCACCUUGCCCUGCCCUGGCUGGAUGGGCAGCGGCUCCUCUGUGCCUGCCAGGAUGAAAGCCCCGGAGUGGAACUGCCCCCAGCCCCUCCGGCUCUUGGCUGGGGUGGGGUCACACCGAGGACAAAUCCCAGGGUUGUCACUGGGCACUGGGAAAUCGCGAUCUGGCGAAGGCAGCAGAUCCAUCACCACUCACACCUCUGCCCAAGCUGAAUUCCCUGAGGAAACCAGUGUCCCUGUGCCCUAACUGGGAAGCAGGAGGAUGGCAUGUUACCCACUCUGGCUGGGCCCAAAUACCCAAUGUCCAAGUGAUCUGCAUUUGGGUGCUGGGGUUUUUUCUUAAUCUCUUUUUUUUUUUGUUGUUCUUAGCCUUCUAAAAACAAACUUCAGAUUCGUCAGCUGGAAGUGAUCUCAUCGCGUUACAGAUUUGCUUUCCUGGGAAACUAAACUCUUCUGGUGUAAUGAUGGGAAAGUCUCACCUUCCCUUUUUCUAUAUUCCUUUAACCAAGGUUCUGUUGAAAUUAGCUUGGCAGGCCAACAGCUCAGAAGCAAAGACACAAAAGAAAAACCUUUGUUACUAUUAGGUUUUUUAUUCUAUUUAUUUUCUUACCCAUCUCAUGAUUUUGGGGAGAUGGCAAGUGAUUUUUGAAUAUUUAUUGACACAUAUCCAAAUCUGUAGAGACGGAUACAUUUUACUAAUACAGUAGUCUGUUUGUCUCACUGCCAGCAAAAAAAAUAGAGGCAAACCCCAAUAAUUAAUUAUUGAACUGUGUUUUGUAGUUUUCUUUGAGUUGCAACACUGUCUGCUCACUCCUACUGUUUUUUCUGCCUCUUACAAAUUCUUUGCACAAGUGGAAGCCCAACUCAGCUAACCCAGUGCAGUAUCACUGUACUCAAGUGAGGAUGGGCUUGGCUCCUCUUCAAAGGGAGCUUUUAUCGAGUGUUUAGUGUGAUGUGACAAAGCAGGGAAGUGUGCCACGGGAUGUGGUGCUUCCAAAUCCCCUCCUUCUACCUUGAUUAAACUUGAGGGCAAUUACCCUUGC